GCGAGCCUGGAUCUCAGUGAGAGAGUGAGAGAGAAAGGCUAUCCUGUCUGUAUGCCCAGGCUGAGCACUCACACGCAGAGGGAUGAUGAGGCUAGGCUGGGUUCGAGGGCUGGCCCCUUUGCUGGCCAUGGCUGCUGGAAUACUCUACAUCACAUCCAUUAAGUGGGAGGUUCAUUCUCAUGGGGAGAGACUGCAGGGGGCCCAUCAGAAUGAAUCGGCCAGGGGCCAGGACAUUCUCAAGAGGCUGGAGAAGAUGGAGGCUCACAUCGAGAAGCUGGUGAAGUCAAUCAACAAUGGGAUCAGUCUGAAAGAGGGGCAGGCUGUGAAGGCUCCCGAGGUCAAGAAGGAGAGGAAGGUGGUGAAGAAGUUGUACCCCAACUCAGCUCUGUUUACAAGCUGGGGUGAUGAGCUCUCAGAGGAGGAGCAGAAAGAGGCAGAGGGGCUGUUUCAGAUGUAUGGAUACAACGCCUUCCUGAGUGACAGACUACCCCUGAACAGGGAAAUCCCUGAUACUCGCGAUCCUAAGUGUGCUAAGCACCAGUAUCCCCAUGACCUGCCCACCAUCAGCGUGGUAUUGAUCUACUUGGACGAGGCCCUGUCAAUCAUCAAGAGAGCUGUCCGCAGCAUCAUAGACAAGACCCCCCAACGCCUGCUCAAAGACAUUAUACUGGUGGAUGACCACAGCUCCAAUGGUUUGCCUAAUUGGUCUCUUCUCACCUCUUAGAAACAUGUCAAGAGGAUCUAAAGGAGAAGUUGGAUGCCUACAUCAGCUUCAUCCAUGAAGAGCGUCCAGGCCUGGUGAAGAGAGUGAGACACAAAGAGCAGCUCGGUCUCACACAGGCCCGCCUCUCAGGGUGGAGGGAAGCUACAGGAGAUGUGGUGGCCAUCUUGGACGCCCACAUAGAGGUCCAUGUGGAAUGGGCGGAGCCUCUGUUAGCUCGGAUAAAGGAGGACCGCACGUUGGUGUUGACACCGGUGUUUGACAACGUCCAUUUCGAUGACUUGACAGUCACACGUUAUGGGCCUGCUGCAGACACCUUUGACUGGGCCCUGUGGUGUAUGUACGAGCCCUUCAAACCUGAGUGGUAUGCCUUGAAAGACGAGUCACAGCCAGGAAAGAGCCCCUCCAUUAUGGGCAUACUAGUGGUUGAUCGCCUGUUCUUUGGGGAAAUUGGUGCUCUGGAUGGUGGUAUGAAGAUCUAUGGAGGGGAAAAUGUUGAACUGGGUAUCCGGGUAAGCCCAUCUGCUGCAGUUUCUAAAUGAAUGUUUGAAAUCAAAGCAGACUUGUGUUUGCAGAAUUACUUUUUGUUCUUGAGUCAUUAAUUUUGAACAAACCAAUCUACGUCCAACAUCCAGACACUUUCAGUCCAAACUCUUCCUUCUCUCUUGGUGUUUGAUGUGUCGAGGUGUGGCUAUGUGGUGGAAGUGUCGAGGUCAUACCUUGUUCUAAAAUAGCCCACAUCGAGAGGGCCCAUAAACCCUAUCUCCCUGACCUGAGCAUUACAAUGAAGAGGAAUGCUCUGAGAGUGGCUGAGGUCUGGAUGGAUGACUACAAACAUAAUGUCAACAUUGCCUGGAAUAUCCCACUGAAGGAUCACGGCAUAGACAUUGGAGAUGUUUCAGAGAGGAAGAAGUUGAGAAAGAGUCUGAACUGCAAACCCUUCCAGUGGUAUCUGGAUAACGUGUAUCCCAUGUUAGACCCCCUGGGUGACUUGCUUGGUUAUGGAGCUCUGGUCAAUGACCAGAAGAUGGAUCUCUGUAUAGAUCAAGGCCCAUUUCCAGGGAACACACCUAUUUUAUAUGGAUGCCAUUAUUAUGGUCCUCAGAACUGUUAUUAUCGAGCCAGUAGGGAGAUCUACAUUGGAGGCAUUAGGUCUCAUAAGUACGACAGUAAUCGCUGUCUGGUGGACACUGGCACUCGAACCCCAGGACUGUAUGAGUGCAAGGUGGCCAAGCAGAAGGGAUUCCACAUGCUCUGGGACUUCCAACAGGGAAAAGCCAUCCAGAACAGACAGACAAAGAGAUGUCUGGAGAUUGCCCCAGGGGAGGACACCUACUACCAGCUCAUCAUUCAGGAGUGUAGUGGGCAGCACUGGAACAUACAGAAUCUGAUUAAAGACUUCUGAUACACUGAGAUAGUUAGGCCUACUGUACCAGAGACAAUACAGCGGGCCUAUAGGAGUUAUUAUCAACUGGUAAUUACCACCUUCCCACUUUGUUAUGAACACAUCAUUAUCAUCAUGCUUUGAAAAGCUGGUGGUCAGCAGUGGUCAGCAGUGAGAUGACUGUGUAAUCUUAAUGAGCUGUUGGUUGUACAUAGCUUCAUGGGGACAUUCCUCACAUAAUGUGAAAUGCUAUUGAGCUGUGUUCUCCUUGGUCCUGAAUGUAAAUGCAAACAAAGAAUAAACACGAUUCCUGUAU
Oncorhynchus kisutch (coho salmon) is the source of this 2421-nucleotide RNA transcript. It is a transcript of the gene named probable polypeptide N-acetylgalactosaminyltransferase 8, with no coding region annotated. The record is from RefSeq and is a predicted model, not a curated record. NCBI's taxonomy places the organism in Eukaryota, Metazoa, Chordata, Actinopteri, Salmoniformes, Salmonidae. The transcript has 10 exons.